This 426-nucleotide long non-coding RNA is filed under the name Cavia porcellus (domestic guinea pig). RNAcentral's name for it is "lncRNA (ENSCPOG00000034298.1)". The record is from RNAcentral. Lineage: Eukaryota; Metazoa; Chordata; Mammalia; Rodentia; Caviidae.
UAAUGUAAAUUUAUAGUGAAUUUUGUAAAAUGUCUGUCUGUAAUACAGGAAGAAUAUGGUGGCCAACAAAUUAAAGAAGAGGACAAAAAUGGCUCAAGAAAUCUAAGCUGAUCGACACACAAAAGAGAAAGGGAACAUUCCUUAAGUUCAGUGUUUGAGCAAACUACUACAACAAAGAUGUGAUGAAGACAAUUAUUUGAGAAUUGAAGAGCAGCAAUAUAAAUGUAAUGAAGAUGUAGAGACCUGCAGUGAUUUCCAGUCCUUUCAGAAGCAUGAAAUGAGAAAGACUGGAGAGAAACUCUGUCAAUAUGGGCAAUGUGGGGAGGACAGCUCUGAUCUUAGGGAAUAAACUCACCCUGAGAAGAAAAUUUUUUCAGCAUUCAUGAAUUUAAUGUCACUUGGAUUCAUCAUGGAUCUCAGUUUCCU